Molecule: long non-coding RNA, 871 nt
Organism: Solea senegalensis (Senegalese sole)
Lineage: Eukaryota; Metazoa; Chordata; Actinopteri; Pleuronectiformes; Soleidae
Exons: 2
Source: RefSeq, a predicted model, not a curated record
GCGGGAAAUCAGCAGUGCAGUUCAAUCCUUCACUCGAGGUUUCUAAAGCGUUGUCAUGGUUAACAGUGAGAGAGCUGUCCACAUUCAUCCAUCACACUAAACGUUUAUUCUUUGACUGUCUGCAGAUGAUUUCUGGAUUUCAGUUCAGCCUGAACAUUCUUCAUGCUUUGGCAGGUGAAUCUCGAAAAGAAAUGUCAGAUAUAGCUCAGCACUGAGGGCCUCUGCUUAAACCCAUGUUCUAAAAACAUGGAAGCAGGCAGGACACGAGGAGAGAGAUGAGCGUUAAAAGGAAGAGGGUGGAUUAUUGAGCAGCACAACUCUUGACAACACUGCCCCCUGCAGGAAAGACAGCCACAGGACCACAGAAGGACACCAACCAAAGCAGGAGUCGCUCUCUCCCGUGCUUCAUCUCCACAACCAACAUCAGUCACUCAUGUCAAACCCGGGGAGGACACUUUGGGGAACAGCCAUUUUAUUAAUCAAAUUUGAACUUGGUGUUAGUUUCUCUUUAUUCCAGUGUCACCAGGGUGAACACCCAUGUUAAAAAUAAAAAGUGACAUUGUUUUUUUCUCUUUUUUUUUUUCUUCCUUGUUAAAAUGUAUAAUCAUAAUGAAGACAGUUAAUCAUAGAAACUAAUCAUAGAAACUGACAGAAUGACCUCACAGCAUUUUGGAUCAAACUCUUCUUCUCCUCCCUUCAGGCUAACUCAUAGAAACAGAAAGAACAGAAAUGGGCCAGGGCAGACAGAACAAAUAAACAGCUUCUUACGUAUAUCCACAUGUUUUUUUUUUUGUUGUUUUUUUUUCUUCUUUUUAGAUAUUUCCCAUAGACUUUAUAGGUUUGGUUUGAAGGGGGGGAAUCUGCUGGAUUG